Molecule: ribosomal RNA, 546 nt
Filed under: Hepatozoon canis
Lineage: Eukaryota; Apicomplexa; Hepatozoidae
Description: SSU rRNA
Rfam family: Eukaryotic small subunit ribosomal RNA
Source: RNAcentral
UUGUAAUUGGAAUGAUAGAAAUUUAAACCCUUUUUAAAGUAUCAAUUGGAGGGCAAGUCUGGUGCCAGCAGCCGCGGUAAUUCCAGCUCCAAUAGCGUAUAUUAAAAUUGUUGCAGUUAAAAAGCUCGUAGUUGAAGUUCUGCUAAAAGUAACCGGUCUGCUUUUAAUAAAGGUGGUAUCUUGGUGUGUAUUUAGCAAUGAUGUCCUUUGAAGUGUUUUUUACUUUAUUGUAAUAAAGCAUAUUCAGGACUUUUACUUUGAAAAAAUUAGAGUGUUUCUAGCAGGCUAACGCUUUGAAUACUGCAGCAUGGAAUAAUAAGAUAGGAUUUUAGUUCUACAUUAUUGGUUUUAAGAGCUAAAUUAAUGAUUGAUAGGGACAGUUGGGGGCAUUUGUAUUUAACCUGUCACAGGUGAAAUUCUUAGAUUUGUUAAAGACAAACUACUGCGAAAGCAUUUGCCAAAGAUGUUUUCAUUAAUCAAGAACGAAAGUUAGGGGAUCGAAGACGAUCAGAUACCCGUCGUAGUCUUAACUAUAAACUAUGCCGA